RNAcentral lists this ribosomal RNA (548 nucleotides) under uncultured bacterium. Its description in RNAcentral is "bacterial SSU rRNA". It matches the Rfam family "Bacterial small subunit ribosomal RNA", at positions 355 to 896 of the family's 1533-position model. The record is from RNAcentral.
GAGGGAAUUUUGGACAAUGGGCGCAAGCCUGAUCCAGCAAUGCCGCGUGCAGGAAGAAGGCCUUCGGGUUGUAAACUGCUUUUGUACGGAACGAAACGGUCCGGGUUAAUACCCUGGGCUAAUGACGGUACCGUAAGAAUAAGCACCGGCUAACUACGUGCCAGCAGCCGCGGUAAUACGUAGGGUGCGAGCGUUAAUCGGAAUUACUGGGCGUAAAGCGUGCGCAGGCGGUUUUGUAAGACAGGCGUGAAAUCCCCGGGCUCAACCUGGGAAUUGCGCUUGUGACUGCAAGGCUGGAGUGCGGCAGAGGGGGAUGGAAUUCCGCGUGUAGCAGUGAAAUGCGUAGAUAUGCGGAGGAACACCGAUGGCGAAGGCAAUCCCCUGGGCCUGCACUGACGCUCAUGCACGAAAGCGUGGGGAGCAAACAGGAUUAGAUACCCUGGUAGUCCACGCCCUAAACGAUGUCAACUGGUUGUUGGGAAUUUACUUUCUCAGUAACGAAGCUAACGCGUGAAGUUGACCGCCUGGGGAGUACGGCCGCAAGGUUG